UUCGCUCUUCAACGAGGAAUCCCUAGUAAGCACAAGUCAUCAGCUUGUGCUGAUUACGUCCCUGCCCUUUGUACACACCGCCCGUCGCUACUACCGAUUGAAUGGCUUAGUGAGGCCUUCGGAUUGUUAGUAAAAAACUGUAACAGGUUUUCUGCCGACGAAAAGUUGGUCAAACUUGGUCAUUUAGAGGAAGUAAAAGUCGUAACAAGGUUUCCGUAGGUGAACCUGCGGAAGGAUCAUUACAAAUCGUUGGCGAAUCUCGCCACUUUUUUUUUCGUAUUUAAAACAUCUACUCUUAAAAAUUAUUUUUAAUGAUAAAAUUAAAAAAAGAUCACUUUCAACAACGGAUCUCUUGGCUCUCGCAUCGAUGAAGAACGUAGCGAAGUGCGAUAAGUAAUGUGAAUUGCAGAAUUCCGUGAAUCAUCGAAUUUUUGAACGCAAAUUGCACUCUCCGGUUUUCCGGGAGAGUAUGCCUGUUUGAGGGUCAGCCUAAAUAAAAUCGGCUUCGUUGCUGUGUUUUUCGCGGUAAUGCUUGUCGGAAAUUGGGUUAUCUUAAACUUGUUUAAGUAGCUUAAAAUUUUUUUACGAUUCUAAGAACGUUUCUAAGAAUAUAUUUCUUUCUUACGUUCAAGGUAUCGAAUACUAUUAGACGUGGCCGUCACAUCGGAUCUCGUCCAUAAUUUUUUCUUUUACUGACCUCAGACAGGUAAGAGUACCCGCUGAACUUAAGCAUAUCAAUAAGCGGAGGAAAAGAAAAUAACAAUGAUUCCCUUAGUAACGGCGAGUGAAGGGGGAAAAGCUCAAAUUUUAAAUCGGUCAGGUUCUACCUGUUCGAGUUGUAAUUUGAAGAAGCGUUUUCCGCGUUCGGGUUGACCCAAAUCCUUUGGGAUAAGGUAUCAUGGAGGGUGAGAAUCCCGUCCGGUUGACCUUGAAACGCUCUACGAUACGCUUUCAAAGAGUCGAGCUGUUUGGGAAUGCAGCUCAAAAUGGGAGGUAAAUUUCUCCUAAGGCUAAGUACCGGCGAGAGACCGAUAGCGAACAAGUACCGUGAGGGAAAGAUGAAAAGAACUUUGAAAAGAGAGUUAAACAGUACGUGAAAUUGUUGAAAGGGAAACGAUUGAAGCCAGCCGUUCUGACGGAAAAUCAACUUUUCGGGUGCCUAUCGUGGGUGACGUUGAGCCUCACGGUCUUCGUUGCUUGUGUUUGUUGGUACCUUUGGAGUGCACUUUUUCGUAUGGUAGGUCAACAUCGAUUUUAAUCGUCAUAAAAUGAUCGGAGGAAUGUGGCUUCGAUUUCGAUUGGAGUGUUAUAGCCUUUGGUAGAUGUGACGAUUGGGAUCGAGGAUUGCAACGAAUACCCUUUGGGCUGUCCGUCUGGCCUCUGAAAGUCGCUUGGGUGCUGAAAGCUUGCUUAUAGUAUUCAAGUUGGCGGUCAACAGGUUAGAACGUGAUUACAUUCGUUAAGGAUGUUGACGUAAUGGCUUUAAACGACCCGUCUUGAAACACGGACCAAGGAGUCUAACAUAUGUGCGAGUGUU
This 1537-nucleotide ribosomal RNA is filed under the name uncultured Glomus. Its description in RNAcentral is "eukaryotic LSU rRNA". The stretch from base 694 to 1537 matches the Rfam family "Eukaryotic large subunit ribosomal RNA", at positions 1 to 694 of the family's 3401-position model. The record is from RNAcentral. Lineage: Eukaryota; Fungi; Glomeromycota; Glomeromycetes; Glomerales; Glomeraceae.